UACGGGGGGGGCAAGCGUUGUUCGGAAUUACUGGGCGUAAAGGGCGCGUAGGCGGCCCGCUAAGUCAGACGUGAAAUCCCUCGGCUCAACCGGGGAACUGCGUCUGAUACUGGCAGGCUUGAAUCCGGGAGAGGGAUGUGGAAUUCCAGGUGUAGCGGUGAAAUGCGCAGAUAUCAGGAAGAACACCCGUGGCGAAGGCGGCUCUCUGGGACGGUACUGACGCUGAGACGCGAAAGCGUGGGGAGCGAACAGG
RNAcentral lists this ribosomal RNA (253 nucleotides) under uncultured bacterium. Its description in RNAcentral is "partial 16S ribosomal RNA". It matches the Rfam family "Bacterial small subunit ribosomal RNA", at positions 524 to 776 of the family's 1533-position model. The record is from RNAcentral.